UACGUAGGGUGCGAGCGUUGUCCGGAAUUACUGGGCGUAAAGGGCUCGUAGGCGGCCCUCUCAGUCGGAUGUGAAAUCCCCAGGCUUAACCUGGGAAUGGCAUCCGAUACUGGAGGGCUUGAAUUCGGGAGAGGGAUGCAGAAUUCCAGGUGUAGCGGUGAAAUGCGUAGAUAUCUGGAGGAAUACCGGUGGCGAAGGCGGCAUCCUGGACCGAGAUUGACGCUGAGGAGCGAAAGCGUGGGGAGCGAACAGG
RNAcentral lists this ribosomal RNA (253 nucleotides) under uncultured bacterium. RNAcentral's name for it is "partial 16S ribosomal RNA". It matches the Rfam family "Bacterial small subunit ribosomal RNA", at positions 524 to 776 of the family's 1533-position model. The record is from RNAcentral.